CAGGCAUUGGUAUAGUGGUAUUAUGCGCGGUUUGGAUCCGCGUGAAGUUGGUUCGAUUCCAGCAUGCCUGA
RNAcentral lists this transfer RNA (71 nucleotides) under bacterium. RNAcentral describes it as "tRNA-Pro". It matches the Rfam family "tRNA". From Rfam's summary of the family: Transfer RNA (tRNA) molecules are approximately 80 nucleotides in length. Their secondary structure includes four short double-helical elements and three loops (D, anti-codon, and T loops). The record is from RNAcentral.